Poeciliopsis prolifica (blackstripe livebearer) is the source of this 672-nucleotide long non-coding RNA. RefSeq lists it as uncharacterized. Lineage: Eukaryota; Metazoa; Chordata; Actinopteri; Cyprinodontiformes; Poeciliidae. The transcript is spliced from 3 exons. The record is from RefSeq and is a predicted model, not a curated record.
CUGUCAACCUCGGCUCCAUGACGCCCCCCUGUGUCUCCGCCUCUCUGCUCCUCGGUCGGUCCUGGUAUCGAGUCGCCUCUCUGUUCCUCCAUCGGUCCUGGUGUAGAGACGACACCCAGUUCCCCCGUCGAUCUCUUCCCCGAGUCUCUCCCCCCGUCGACGGGGGAUCGACGGGAGAUCGACGAUCCCCCGUCGAUCUCUCCGUGCCUUCAUCGGUCCCGACCCCAAGAAGCCUCCACGUCCGAUUCUGUUAUGAUGCGAAAUCCAACAAAAACCUUGGUCUUUAAGGACAUUUUCCACCAAUGUCACACUUUCUGAUGGGAAACGGUUCACAGAAAAACUGCUCAGACUGGACGGUUCAGCCCAUGUGAUCCCUAUUGAACCGGGUGAUGUUUGCCAUCUGUGUGUUUUCAGUUGAGCUGGUCUGGUGUCAAAACUCUUCCUUUUUUCCCUCUCCAGUGAGAACGGGCAGCUCGGCUUAGCGCUGGCCCACCCGCCCACAUCGCUCAUUCAUCUGAAUAACCUUGUGGGCGUACGUUUUUAUUCCAGCAGCAACACCAGUUUAGAAAAGAAGGAGGCAAAAACAACAGAAAAACAAAGCUAGAGGUAGGGACCCCAUGUGUCUUGGUGAGUGUGAGUUAUGACCGUCGUGUCAUCGAUGGAGGGGGGAGG